This 253-nucleotide ribosomal RNA is filed under the name uncultured prokaryote. Its description in RNAcentral is "partial 16S ribosomal RNA". It matches the Rfam family "Bacterial small subunit ribosomal RNA", at positions 524 to 776 of the family's 1533-position model. The record is from RNAcentral.
UACAGAGGUCCCAAGCGUUGUUCGGAUUCACUGGGCGUAAAGGGUGCGCAGGUGGGUUUGCAAGUUCGAUGUGAAAGCCCCGGGCUUAACCCGGGAAUGGCAUUGGAAACUGCAGAUCUGGAGGAUCGGAGGGGGGACUGGAAUUCUCGGUGUAGAGGUGAAAUUCGUAGAUAUCGAGAGGAACACCGGCGGCGAAAGCGGCCUUCUGGAGAGUGACUGACGCUGAGAUGCGAAAGCAUGGGGAGCAAACAGG